ACUCCCAACCCAAUGUGAACCAUACCAAACUGUUGCCUCGGCGGGGUCACGCCCCGGGUGCGUCGCAGCCCCGGAACCAGGCGCCCGCCGGAGGGACCAACCAAACUCUUUCUGUAGUCCCCUCGCGGACGUUAUUUUUACAGCUCUGAGCAAAAAUUCAAAAUGAAUCAAAACUUUCAACAACGGAUCUCUUGGUUCUGGCAUCCGAUGAAGAACGCAGCGAAAUGCGAUAAGUAAUGUGAAUUGCAGAAUUCAGUGAAUCAUCGAAUCUUUGAACGCACAUUGCGCCCGCCAGUAUUCUGGCGGGCAUGCCUGUCCGAGCGUCAUUUCAACCCUCGAACCCCUCCGGGGGGUCGGCGUUGGGGACUUCGGGAACCCCUAAGACGGGAUCCCGGCCCCGAAAUACAGUGGCGGUCUCGCCGCAGCCUCUCAUGCGCAGUAGUUUGCACAACUCGCACCGGGAGCGCGGCGCGUCCACGUCCGUAAAACACCCAACUUCUGAAAUGUUGACCUCGGAUCAGGUAGGAAUACCCGCUGAACUUAAGCAUAUCAUAAGGCGGGAAG
Molecule: ribosomal RNA, 564 nt
Filed under: Trichoderma viride
Lineage: Eukaryota; Fungi; Ascomycota; Sordariomycetes; Hypocreales; Hypocreaceae
Description: eukaryotic LSU rRNA
Rfam family: 5.8S ribosomal RNA (bases 172-326)
Source: RNAcentral